GCAUAAUCUGUAGAUAGGGAACUAGCGCUAGCUAGUGGCACUUGUACAUGCACUACUGCCCUUUUCUCCUCUCUUCUAGCUGUUGUGCUCCAUGAAUUCUAACGUGGAUUCCCAUCAGCCUUACACAUGAUGAUCCUAUGAAUUCAUUAACUAGCUGAGCAAGAGAGGGAGAGGAGA
Long non-coding RNA from Oryza sativa Japonica Group (Japanese rice), 177 nucleotides. RefSeq lists it as uncharacterized. The record is from RefSeq and is a predicted model, not a curated record. Lineage: Eukaryota; Viridiplantae; Streptophyta; Magnoliopsida; Poales; Poaceae.